This 544-nucleotide ribosomal RNA is filed under the name Penicillium crustosum. RNAcentral describes it as "eukaryotic LSU rRNA". The stretch from base 174 to 326 matches the Rfam family "5.8S ribosomal RNA". The record is from RNAcentral. Lineage: Eukaryota; Fungi; Ascomycota; Eurotiomycetes; Eurotiales; Aspergillaceae.
GAGUGAGGGCCCUCUGGGUCCAACCUCCCACCCGUGUUUAUUCAACUUGUUGCUUCGGCGGGCCCGCCUUAACUGGCCGCCGGGGGGCUUACGCCCCCGGGCCCGCGCCCGCCGAAGACACCCUCGAACUCUGUCUGAAGAUUGAAGUCUGAGUGAAAAUAUAAAUUAUUUAAAACUUUCAACAACGGAUCUCUUGGUUCCGGCAUCGAUGAAGAACGCAGCGAAAUGCGAUACGUAAUGUGAAUUGCAAAUUCAGUGAAUCAUCGAGUCUUUGAACGCACAUUGCGCCCCCUGGUAUUCCGGGGGGCAUGCCUGUCCGAGCGUCAUUGCUGCCCUCAAGCCCGGCUUGUGUGUUGGGCCCCGUCCCCCGAUCUCCGGGGGACGGGCCCGAAAGGCAGCGGCGGCACCGCGUCCGGUCCUCGAGCGUAUGGGGCUUUGUCACCCGCUCUGUAGGCCCGGCCGGCGCUUGCCGAUCAACCCAAAUUUUUAUCCAGGUUGACCUCGGAUCAGGUAGGGAUACCCGCUGAACUUAAGCAUAUCAAUA